GAUGAACGCUGGCGGCGUGCCUAAUACAUGCAAGUCGAGCGAACGGACGCGAAGCUUGCUUCUCUGAUGUUAGCGGAGGACGGGUGAGUAACACGUGGAUAACCUACCUAUAAGACUGGGAUAACUUCGGGAAACCGGAGCUAAUACCGGAUAAUAUUUUGAACCGCAUGGUUCAAAAGUGAAAGACGGUCUUGCUGUCACUUCUCGCUGGAUCCGCGCUGCAUUAGCUAGUUGGUAAGGUAACGGCUUACCAAGGCAACGAUGCGUAGCCGACCUGAGAGGGUGGUCGGCCACACUGGAACUGAGACACGGUCCAGACGCCUAAGGGAGGCAGCAGAAGGGAAUCGGCCGCAGUGGGCGAAAGCCUGACGGAGCAGCGCCGCGUGAGUGAUGAAGGUCUUCGGAUCGUAAAACUCUGUUAUUAGUGAAGAACAGAUUUGUAAGGAACUGUGCACAGCGUGACGGUACCUAAUCAGAAAGCCACGGCUAACUACGUG
RNAcentral lists this ribosomal RNA (497 nucleotides) under uncultured bacterium. RNAcentral describes it as "partial 16S ribosomal RNA". It matches the Rfam family "Bacterial small subunit ribosomal RNA", at positions 28 to 507 of the family's 1533-position model. The record is from RNAcentral.